AGCGGCGGACGGGUGAGUAACACGUGGGUAACCUGCCUGUAAGACUGGGAUAACUCCGGGAAACCGGGGCUAAUACCGGAUGGUUGUUUGAACCGCAUGGUUCAAACAUAAAAGGUGGCUUCGGCUACCACUUACAGAUGGACCCGCGGCGCAUUAGCUAGUUGGUGAGGUAACGGCUCACCAAGGCAACGAUGCGUAGCCGACCUGAGAGGGUGAUCGGCCACACUGGGACUGAGACACGGCCCAGACUCCUACGGGAGGCAGCAGUAGGGAAUCUUCCGCAAUGGACGAAAGUCUGACGGAGCAACGCCGCGUGAGUGAUGAAGGUUUUCGGAUCGUAAAGCUCUGUUGUUAGGGAAGAACAAGUACCGUUCGAAUAGGGCGGUACCUUGACGGUACCUAACCAGAAAGCCACGGCUAACUACGUGCCAGCAGCCGCGGUAAUACGUAGGUGGCAAGCGUUGUCCGGAAUUAUUGGGCGUAAAGGGCUCGCAGGCGGUUUCUUAAGUCUGAUGUGAAAGCCCCCGGCUCAACCGGGGAGGGUCAUUGGAAACUGGGGAACUUGAGUGCAGAAGAGGAGAGUGGAAUUCCACGUGUAGCGGUGAAAUGCGUAGAGAUGUGGAGGAACACCAGUGGCGAAGGCGACUCUCUGGUCUGUAACUGACGCUGAGGAGCGAAAGCGUGGGGAGCGAACAGGAUUAGAUACCCUGGUAGUCCA
This 718-nucleotide ribosomal RNA is filed under the name Bacillus tequilensis. RNAcentral's name for it is "bacterial SSU rRNA". It matches the Rfam family "Bacterial small subunit ribosomal RNA", at positions 94 to 797 of the family's 1533-position model. Lineage: Bacteria; Bacillati; Bacillota; Bacilli; Caryophanales; Bacillaceae. The record is from RNAcentral.